RNAcentral lists this long non-coding RNA (483 nucleotides) under Anser brachyrhynchus (Pink-footed goose). RNAcentral's name for it is "lncRNA (ENSABRG00000022569.1)". The record is from RNAcentral. Lineage: Eukaryota; Metazoa; Chordata; Aves; Anseriformes; Anatidae.
UGAAGAGACAACAAACUUGCCAUAGGUUCCUGGAAGAGCUGAUGCCUUCAUAUUGAUUUCAGUGUCAGACUUACUUAAUGGACCCCUAGAAGACAGCACCUGGGAGGUCAGUUUGUACAGUACAUGUAGCACCAUUCAACAUCAAAGGGUCUACACCAGUCCAACGCGUGGAACUGCAGUAAUCGGGCCACAGUUCAUCCUGUGUCUUUCUCGGCAUCUGAUUUCAUCCAGCUCUUGCUCUCACACCUGAAGAACAAAAUUUCUCUUAGCGUUGUGCAAGGGAACUGUAACACAUGUUUUAGCAGAAUGAAUAAUGCGAAGAUUGUACCGAAACGUUAAACUAAAUUUUGAUAUAUACUGAUAAAAAUUCUAGUUGCCAUUCUGUGACCACGUUUCAGUGGUCACAAGAGUCCCUAAAUAUUGCAGAGUGUAUGAGGUUGCUACCAAGCUUCCUGACAAUUUUGAGCCAUAAGCUGUUGGCUG